UUUUUUUUGAGAGAAAGGUAUCAUGCUACCGCUUCAUUCGGCAAGAAGGUGAAUUUAGCAACAAAGUAAAGCAACUGAGCUUUGAUGAAACGAAAAAAAAGGGCUAAAUGCAAUAAAGCUCCCACAUAUAAGUCCACCAACAACCGUCUCAGCAUCAGCUUUCUUGCAUUUAGCCUCAACAACCGUCUCAACAUCAGCUUCUUACCGACCAUUCCUAGAGCAAGUGGCAAAGGGUUUGGUGGUUGGUAUCCGAGACCCAAGUUCGAAUCCUAGUUGAUUCACAUUUUUAGUUAAGUUUAUUUCUAAAUAAAAUAAACGAAACGGGUAGCGUGCUACGUACCUAUCUCUAAGAAAAAAAAAAAAAACAACAACAACAGCUUUCUUUUCUCAAAAAUUCGACUAUUCUACUCUAACUA
Molecule: long non-coding RNA, 416 nt
Filed under: Ananas comosus (pineapple)
Lineage: Eukaryota; Viridiplantae; Streptophyta; Magnoliopsida; Poales; Bromeliaceae
Description: long non-coding RNA (ACOM_LNC015942)
Source: RNAcentral